AGGACUUACAGGGGUAGGAGUGAAAUCUUGUAAUACCCUGUGGGGACCCACCUGGUGGCGAAGGCGCCUUACCGAGAACGGGUUCCGACGGUGAGGGACGAAAGCUGGGGCACGAACCGGAUUAGAUACCCGGGUAGUCCCAGCCGUAAACGAUGCUCGCUAGGUGUCAGGCAUGGCGCGACCGUGUCUGGUGCCGCAGGGAAGCCGUGAAGCGAGCCACCUGGGAAGUACGGCCGCAAGGCUGAAACUUAAAGGAAUUGGCGGGGAGCACAACAAAACCGGGUUGGAGCCCGACGGUUUAAUUGGACUCAACGCCGGACAACUCACCGGGGCGACAGCAAUAUGUAGGCCAAGCUGAAGACUUUGACCUGAAUCGCUGAGUAGUGGUGCAUGG
RNAcentral lists this ribosomal RNA (394 nucleotides) under uncultured archaeon. Its description in RNAcentral is "bacterial SSU rRNA". It matches the Rfam family "Archaeal small subunit ribosomal RNA", at positions 613 to 997 of the family's 1478-position model. The record is from RNAcentral.